AACAUUGGGGGCAUGUGCACGCUCUGUUCACACAUCCACUCACACCUGUGCACCCUCUGUAGUUCUAUGGUCUGGCGGACACCUGUCUUCCUCCUGUAGUUCUACGUUUUUACACACACACCGUAGCAAAGUCUUAUGGAAUGUGCGCCGCGUAUAACGCAAUACAAUACAACUUUCAGCAACGGAUCUCUUGGCUCUCGCAUCGAUGAAGAACGCAGCGAAAUGCGAUAAGUAAUGUGAAUUGCAGAAUUCAGUGAAUCAUCGAAUCUUUGAACGCACCUUGCGCCCCUUGGCUAUUCCGAGGGGCAUGCCUGUUUGAGUAUCAUGAACAUCUCAACUCUCACGAUUUGCCGUGAUGAGCUUGGACUUUUGGGGGUUUUGCUGGCCCUAUGGUCAGCUCCUCUGAAACAGAUCAGCUUGCCAGUGUUUGGUGGCGUCACAGGUGUGAUAACUAUCUACGCUUGCGAUUGUCUGCCAAGUAACCUUCGGUGACGGAGGUUCGCUGGGAGCUUAUAAACGUCUCUCCUCAGCGAAGACAGCUUUUUUGACCGUUUCGAUCUCAAAUCAAGGUAGGGACUACCCCGCUGAACUUAAGC
Molecule: ribosomal RNA, 596 nt
Filed under: uncultured Tomentella
Lineage: Eukaryota; Fungi; Basidiomycota; Agaricomycetes; Thelephorales; Thelephoraceae
Description: eukaryotic LSU rRNA
Rfam family: 5.8S ribosomal RNA (bases 171-325)
Source: RNAcentral